UGGGGAAUAUUGCGCAAUGGGGGGAACCCUGACGCAGCCAUGCCGCGUGAAUGAAGAAGGCCUUAGGGUUGUAAAGUUCUUUCGGUAUUGAGGAAGGUUGAUGUGUUAAUAGCACAUCAAAUUGACGUUAAAUACAGAAGAAGCACCGGCUAACUCCGUGCCAGCAGCCGCGGUAAUACGGAGGGUGCGAGCGUUAAUCGGAAUAACUGGGCGUAAAGGGCACGCAGGCGGUUAUUUAAGUGAGGUGUGAAAGCCCCGGGCUUAACCUGGGAAUUGCAUUUCAGACUGGGUAACUAGAGUACUUUAGGGAGGGGUAGAAUUCCACGUGUAGCGGUGAAAUGCGUAGAGAUGUGGAGGAAUACCAAAGGCGAAGGCAGCCCCUUGGGAAUGUACUGACGCUCAUGUGCGAAAGCGUGGGGAGCAAACAGGAUUAGAUACCCUGGUAGUCCACGCUGUAAACGCUGUCGAUUUGGGGGUUGGGGUUUAACUCUGGCGCCCGUAGCUAACGUGAUAAAUCGACCGCCUGGGGAGUACGGCCGCAAGGUUA
This 547-nucleotide ribosomal RNA is filed under the name uncultured bacterium. RNAcentral describes it as "bacterial SSU rRNA". It matches the Rfam family "Bacterial small subunit ribosomal RNA", at positions 355 to 896 of the family's 1533-position model. The record is from RNAcentral.